RNAcentral lists this ribosomal RNA (390 nucleotides) under Hebeloma hiemale. RNAcentral describes it as "partial small subunit ribosomal RNA". Lineage: Eukaryota; Fungi; Basidiomycota; Agaricomycetes; Agaricales; Hymenogastraceae. The record is from RNAcentral.
GGAUAAAUUAAUAUAAAUAAAUUAAAUAUAUUUACACUAUUUUGUCUACUCCAUUUCUAUUUCUACUUUUGCCUUAUUACUAUCAAUCCUAUGUAGGAACACUUUUCCUUUUGUCUUUGCAAAGCAAAGGAAAAGUAGUAUGCUCCUCUCCCUCCCUAAAGGAGGGUCCUAGGGCUAAAUAUAACUGCAAAGGUGUAUAUUAAAUAUGGAAAAACAAAAAAAGUAAAAUAACUUAUUUAUAAAUAACUAUCACUCAAUCCAGUCUUAAAUAAAAAAAAAAGAAAAAACAAUAUAAUAAAAAUAAAAAUAAUAAUACAAAUUACUAUUUAUAUAAAUAAAUACUUUCUCCUUAUUAUUUAAUAAGAGGGAUUGGCUAUGCAAGAACUGGUA